GGCUAGGUAGCUCAGCCGGUCAGAGCGCGGCACUCAUAAUGCUGAGGUCGGCGGUUCGAUCCCGCCUCUAGCCACCA
Molecule: transfer RNA, 77 nt
Filed under: Lysobacteraceae bacterium SCN 69-320
Lineage: Bacteria; Pseudomonadati; Pseudomonadota; Gammaproteobacteria; Lysobacterales; Lysobacteraceae
Also listed under: 11 other names
Description: Xanthomonadaceae bacterium SCN 69-320 tRNA-Met
Rfam family: tRNA
About the family: Transfer RNA (tRNA) molecules are approximately 80 nucleotides in length. Their secondary structure includes four short double-helical elements and three loops (D, anti-codon, and T loops).
Source: RNAcentral